GAACUGAAGAGUUUGAUCCUGGCUCAGAUUGAACGCUGGCGGGAUGCCUUACACAUGCAAGUCGAACGGCAGCACGGACUUCGGUCUGGUGGCGAGUGGCGAACGGGUGAGUAAUGUAUCGGAACGUACCCAGUAGCGGGGGAUAACUACGCGAAAGCGUAGCUAAUACCGCAUACGUCCUACGGGAGAAAGCGGGGGACCUUCGGGCCUCGCACUAUUGGAGCGGCCGAUAUCGGAUUAGCUAGUUGGUGGGGUAAAGGCCUACCAAGGCGACGAUCCGUAGCUGGUUUGAGAGGACGACCAGCCACACUGGGACUGAGACACGGCCCAGACUCCUACGGGAGGCAGCAGUGGGGAAUUUUGGACAAUGGGGGCAACCCUGAUCCAGCCAUCCCGCGUGUGCGAUGAAGGCCUUCGGGUUGUAAAGCACUUUUGGCAGGAAAGAAACGGUUCCGGAUAAUACCUGGAGCAACUGACGGUACCUGCAGAAUAAGCACCGGCUAACUACGUGCCAGCAGCCGCG
This 523-nucleotide non-coding RNA is filed under the name Bordetella ansorpii. RNAcentral describes it as "Bacterial small subunit ribosomal RNA". It matches the Rfam family "Bacterial small subunit ribosomal RNA", at positions 1 to 519 of the family's 1533-position model. The record is from Rfam by way of RNAcentral. Lineage: Bacteria; Pseudomonadati; Pseudomonadota; Betaproteobacteria; Burkholderiales; Alcaligenaceae.